CCUCCCUCCACAGUCAGGAUUAGUUGACUUAUCAUUUAAUUGAAAUCACUUUUUGUUUUGAGCCCUCAAUGCUAAUUUGAUUGGAUACUUUUGUAGGCUUUCAUUCAUUUUUUUUUUAAUUCAGAUAUUUAUUAUAAGUUGUGCACUUGAGCAUCUGGAAACCAAUCUGUGGAAGUCUAUGCCUUGAAACAUUCAAACACAAAUUAUCAGUUAAUAAUUUUGACAUCUCGCAGUUAGUAUGUAGUAAUAAUCUCCAUUAAAUUUUCUUUAACAAACACUACAUUCAAAUUAAAAAUAAAUAAUUGCAUUUGGUCACUGAUCAGAUGUGUUGUGUUAACAUUUGACCAUUAGUCAGUAGAUUCUGUUAGAAUAGACUUUGAUAUUAUUUAAUUUCAACCAUUAGUAUUAUUUUAAUUUUAUUUUUCAAGUUUUUUUUACCGUUUAUCUAACUAUAUAAAAAUGUUUUAACAUGCUUUGUUGUUUCAUCAUUUCUUGAUCAUGACAUGCUCUCUCAAUGGCUGUGUCUGUAUACCAUUAUUGUAAGAACUUCUGGCUGUUUCUAUAUGUUUAUGUACUCUUUCUUAAGUCAGUUUUAUUGUGUAUAAUUUCUUGUUCUAUCUUCUGGCUCCGUGUGUAUGUAUACUUUCUCCGUCUUCUGGCUCUCGUAACAGCUGUUCAGUUAUACUUUUAUGGCCCAGUGUUUCUGGCAAUUUAAAUGGCAGUGUGUAUAUCUCAUCUUUUUUGCUUGCCGCAAUACCGAUUGUGCCAUUUAUCAAAAUAUAUUUUUGGUGUGUAAAUAUUUCUGUAGCUUUGUAAAGACAAAAAGAAAAAUAAAGCAACUGGUAAACUUGU
Molecule: non-coding RNA, 852 nt
Organism: Biomphalaria pfeifferi
Lineage: Eukaryota; Metazoa; Mollusca; Gastropoda; Planorbidae
Source: the annotation of a GenBank genome assembly